Molecule: ribosomal RNA, 444 nt
Filed under: uncultured bacterium
Lineage: Bacteria
Description: bacterial SSU rRNA
Rfam family: Bacterial small subunit ribosomal RNA
Source: RNAcentral
AUCCAGACUCCUACGGGAGGCAGCAGUGGGGGAUAUUGCACAAUGGGGGAAACCCUGAUGCAGCGACGCCGCGUGUGGGAAGACGGUCCUCUGGAUUGUAAACCACUGUCCCCAGGGACGAAGAUGACGGUACCUGGGGAGGAAGCUCCGGCUAACUACGUGCCAGCAGCCGCGGUAAUACGUAGGGAGCGAGCGUUGUCCGGAAUUACUGGGUGUAAAGGGAGCGUAGGCGGGGAUGCAAGUUGGGUGUUAAAUCUGCCGGCUCAACUGGUAGUCGCACUCAAAACUGCAGCUCUUGAGUGAAGUAGGGGCAGGCGGAAUUCCUAGUGUAGCGGUGAAAUGCGUAGAUAUUAGGAGGAACACCAGUGGCGAAGGCGGCUUUCUGGACUGAAACUGACGCUGAGGCACGAAAGCGUGGGGAGCGAACAGGAUUAGAUACCCCGG